GCUGCGGUAGCUCAGUGGUAGAGCACUCCCUUGGUAAGGGAGUAACCAAACUGGCACCACGCCGUUUUCCAUAACA
This 76-nucleotide transfer RNA is filed under the name Mesorhizobium loti. RNAcentral describes it as "tRNA-Thr". It matches the Rfam family "tRNA". From Rfam's summary of the family: Transfer RNA (tRNA) molecules are approximately 80 nucleotides in length. Their secondary structure includes four short double-helical elements and three loops (D, anti-codon, and T loops). Further hydrogen bonds mediate the characteristic L-shaped molecular structure. tRNAs have two regions of fundamental functional importance: the anti-codon, which is responsible for specific mRNA codon recognition, and the 3' end, to which the tRNAs corresponding amino acid is attached (by aminoacyl-tRNA synthetases). tRNAs cope with the degeneracy of the genetic code in two manners: having more than one tRNA (with a specific anti-codon) for a particular amino acid; and 'wobble' base-pairing, i.e. permitting non-standard base-pairing at the 3rd anti-codon position. The record is from RNAcentral. Lineage: Bacteria; Pseudomonadati; Pseudomonadota; Alphaproteobacteria; Hyphomicrobiales; Phyllobacteriaceae.